UGGGGAAUAUUGCACAAUGGGCGCAAGCCUGAUGCAGCCAUGCCGCGUGUGUGAAGAAGGCCUUCGGGUUGUAAAGCACUUUCAGCGAGGAGGAAGGCAGUCGUGUUAAUAGCACGAUUGAUUGACGUUACUCGCAGAAGAAGCACCGGCUAACUCCGUGCCAGCAGCCGCGGUAAUACGGAGGGUGCAAGCGUUAAUAGGAAUUACUGGGCGUAAAGCGCACGCAGGCGGUUUGUUAAGUCAGAUGUGAAAUCCCCGCGCUUAACGUGGGAACUGCAUUUGAAACUGGCAAGCUAGAGUCUUGUAGAGGGGGGUAGAAUUCCAGGUGUAGCGGUGAAAUGCGUAGAGAUCUGGAGGAAUACCGGUGGCGAAGGCGGCCCCCUGGACAAAGACUGACGCUCAGGUGCGAAAGCGUGGGGAGCAAACA
Molecule: ribosomal RNA, 427 nt
Filed under: uncultured bacterium
Lineage: Bacteria
Description: partial 16S ribosomal RNA
Rfam family: Bacterial small subunit ribosomal RNA
Source: RNAcentral